RNAcentral lists this unclassified non-coding RNA (326 nucleotides) under soil metagenome. RNAcentral describes it as "partial contains 5.8S ribosomal RNA, internal transcribed spacer 2, and large subunit ribosomal RNA". The stretch from base 1 to 120 matches the Rfam family "5.8S ribosomal RNA", at positions 35 to 154 of the family's 154-position model. The record is from RNAcentral.
GAUGAAGAACGCAGCGAAAUGCGAUAAGUAAUGUGAAUUGCAGAAUUCAGUGAAUCAUCGAAUCUUUGAACGCACAUUGCGCCCCUUGGUAUUCCGAGGGGCAUGCCUGUUCGAGCGUCAUAUUAACCACUCCCGCUUGCGGGGUCUUGGGCUUCGCCUCCGGGCGGGCCUUAAAAUCAGUGGCGGUGCCGUCGGGCUCUACGCGUAGUAGAUUUUCUCGCGAUAGGGUCCCGGUGGAUGCUUGCCAACAACCCCCAACUUCUUAAGGUUGACCUCGGAUCAGGUAGGGAUACCCGCUGAACUUAAGCAUAUCAAUAAGCGGAGGA